RNAcentral lists this ribosomal RNA (486 nucleotides) under uncultured bacterium. RNAcentral's name for it is "partial 16S ribosomal RNA". It matches the Rfam family "Bacterial small subunit ribosomal RNA", at positions 30 to 507 of the family's 1533-position model. The record is from RNAcentral.
AUUGAACGCUGGCGGCAUGCCUUACACAUGCAAGUCGAACGGCAGCACGGGUGCUUGCACCUGGUGGCGAGUGGCGAACGGGUGAGUAAUACAUCGGAACAUGUCCUGUAGUGGGGGAUAGCCCGGCGAAAGCCGGAUUAAUACCGCAUACGAUCUACGGAUGAAAGCGGGGGACCUUCGGGCCUCGCGCUAUAGGGUUGGCCGAUGGCUGAUUAGCUAGUUGGUGGGGUAAAGGCCUACCAAGGCGACGAUCAGUAGCUGGUCUGAGAGGACGACCAGCCACACUGGGACUGAGACGCGGCCCAGACUCCUACGGGAGGCAGCAGUGGGGAAUUGUGGACAAUGGGCGAAAGCCUGAUCCAGCAAUGCCGCGUGUGUGAAGAAGGCCUUCGGGUUGUAAAGCACUUUUGUCCGGAAAGAAAUCCUUGGCUCUAAUACAGUCGGGGGAUGACGGUACCGGAAGAAUAAGCACCGGCUAACUACGUG